Molecule: long non-coding RNA, 861 nt
Organism: Epinephelus moara (kelp grouper)
Lineage: Eukaryota; Metazoa; Chordata; Actinopteri; Perciformes; Serranidae
Exons: 4
Source: RefSeq, a predicted model, not a curated record
GACUGAGGGUGUGUUUUUUGCGGUGGGUUUUAGUGCCACCAGGCCUUCCUGCAGCAACAGUGUUUAUGUCAUCUUUCCUCCCGACAAUCUCAAAGUAAUGGGAAUAUUUCCAGCCGCUAAAAUGCUGUUGUCUUUGAGGAGCUGCUAACUAUGGUGGUGGUUGUGAAAACACGAACGACCCUAUCUGGAGCCAGUGUUUGGUUUAUCUGUUCUGAGCUACUGUAGACCUGAAGGUGCAACAUGGUGAUCACUGUGGAUGAGGACCAGCUCCAUACGUGGAUAUAACAGCUCAUUCUAAGUGGUGUCCACACUGCUGGAAAUAACAGAUGAUUUCUGAGGCGUGUCAUCAGAGUGAGCAGGAUGUCCCGAAGAUGGAACUCCCCAGAGAAUGGACGGGUUAGGUCAAGACAGGCCUCGUCUGCCUCCGCUGUCAGACUGCCAAGGCCAAAGUCUCUGGGUGGAGAGAAUGUCAGUGUUAAAGGUUCUAACUUAAAUUGAUGCUGCUGCAGUUCCUACUGGUGACCGAGAGCGUUCAAUAGAUGUGAUAGAUGACUUAUUGCCUCCUGAAGCGACUCUUGUGCAAUUGGACAAUGACUCUCGGGAGAUGGAAGGUUACAGCUGCUGUGUCCCUCAGAGCGUCCCAAUGACAUCAGGCAGCUCUACUGGAACAAUUUGGAUUAUGAGCCUCAAGGGCAGUGCUGCUAUCGUUUCUUCCACUUAAAGGAACAGUUCAACAUUUUGGGAAAUGCAAUAAUUUUCUGUCUUUAGCUUAGCUGGAAAUGGGGGAUCAGCUAGAUCUGGUGAAAUGUUAAAAAAAAAAAAACCUGUCUACCUGCACUUUAUAGCUUGCAGUGUUUUGCC